Molecule: long non-coding RNA, 542 nt
Organism: Gossypium raimondii (Peruvian cotton)
Lineage: Eukaryota; Viridiplantae; Streptophyta; Magnoliopsida; Malvales; Malvaceae
Exons: 2
Source: RefSeq, a predicted model, not a curated record
UGCUGGGCUUGGACAGGCCUGCUGCCUUUUUUCUGCUGCUGCCCCUUUUUUUUUUUUGCUGUUUUGCUUUUUUUUUUUGGGGCUGCUCUUUGCUACUGUUGGGCCUGCUGGGCUUGUGGGUCGGGCGCGGGUUGGUCGGGCCGGAUUCGGGUCGGGUCGGCCCGAUUUAAUUUUUUUUUCCUUUUUUUUUUGUUCCUUCUUCUUCCUCUUUUCUUCUUUCUUUCUUCUUUCUUCUUUCUUCUUCCUUCUUCUUCCUUCUUCUUCUUCUUCAAAGUCUAGCCUCCACCGUUGCUUGCUGUCGCCGACGCCACGGUAGCAGGGGGCUAGGGAGGGCCUAGGUCGGCCGCCGCGAGUUGCAGGUGCAACUUGCGUCAGAGACUGCCAUAGGGACCAAUAUGUAACGGCAGCAAAACUUUUGGGGUUUAAACAUAAUUUUGAGAAAGUUUAGAGGUUAAAAUGUAAUUUUAAGAAAGUUAAGGGGUCAAAAUGUAAUUUCAAAAAGUUUAGGGUUGAAAUGUAAUAAAAAAUUUUAAAAAAUUUCU